GAGGAAAAGAUCCUAGAGGGUAGAAGGAAAAUAGAGAAGGAUUGUCACGCUCGACAUUCUGGUGGGGAUGAAGGUGGUGGGGUGUGUAGAGCAGUACAGAGAACGUGGGAGAGAGGAAGAAAGGGAGAGAGUAAAAGGGGAGAACGAAGACAGAACGAGGGUAGUGAGGAGGGGUUGAAACGCGUAGGGACACAGAGCCAUAAGAGGGUUGAUGGCGGCCGGGGUUGGCCCCAGUAGCACAGUCGCGCGCCAAACUCCCGUAAGAAAGCACGUACCCGGUGAUUCUCGAACGCUCUCUCGCGCAUCCUGCAUCCAACGUCGACGGACGGAUUUCUUUUUUUUUUUUUUCAACGACGACGAGUUCGACGAGUUCGGGCCACUGACCCGCCACUCUUGUCGUCGCGUACCUUCGCGCCUACACUCGAGAGGGUUGAUACUACCUGUGACUAUUGGGGCCGGUGACUCGAGACACACACAAGCGGGUUUUUUCUCCUGAAAAGACUAAAGUCUCGUCGUGGUUGGAACGCUCGAGACGAUCGAAGUGGAAGGGUGGAUUUAGCAGGUGGAAAUUAUUUGGGAGCUAAUUGACGUCACUGAUAUCUCGACGCACACGGUAAAUAGCCAUAAGCGACGACGGGAGCAAAAAAGGAAAAAAAAAAA
Molecule: long non-coding RNA, 660 nt
Organism: Acromyrmex echinatior (Panamanian leafcutter ant)
Lineage: Eukaryota; Metazoa; Arthropoda; Insecta; Hymenoptera; Formicidae
Source: RefSeq, a predicted model, not a curated record